AGGUUUGGGUGGCUGGUUUGUGGGCUAGCAAAUAUUGUAGACUUUGUAGUGCAGGCCCAACUAAAAGACACUCUCAGCCCAACCCUAGACAACCGCUUGAGUGGGUAUGACGGAAGUGAGAGGAGACACACGCCGGAGAUGGAUCUGCCGCCGCCAAAGGGAAGACGGUGCAUUUCAGAGCGUGGUGAGGCGGGACCUCCGGAGUAAACGGGUUCUUCAGCAAGACACAGUGGAAGAGCGGUACGUCGGGUCUCCUCGGAAUCCCAGAGAAGAGGACCGUUAAA
RNAcentral lists this long non-coding RNA (284 nucleotides) under Brassica rapa (field mustard). Its description in RNAcentral is "long non-coding RNA (BRAP_LNC003167)". The record is from RNAcentral. Lineage: Eukaryota; Viridiplantae; Streptophyta; Magnoliopsida; Brassicales; Brassicaceae.